This 379-nucleotide ribosomal RNA is filed under the name uncultured prokaryote. RNAcentral's name for it is "partial 16S ribosomal RNA". The record is from RNAcentral.
CCCUAUGGGGUGCAGGUACGGCAUUCAUGGAUGGAAUAGCUGCAAAACCGCGGCGUUGCGGACUGAUCCCUGUUGUGCACAGGCUUCAAUAAUAAUCCGCCCACUCCAGUCGGGCCAGGGUUUUGUGGAGCGGGCCGGGGGCCCGCGCACAAGCCGCGCGGAUUCCGGCCUGGUGAAAGGCGCGGAAACCUCCCGCUUAACCCGCCUGAGUCAUUAGUGAUAUUUACACUCUUACGAAAAAAUAUUUUGCACCAUUUGCUCUAAACGCUUUAAACGCACCAACGUCGCUGGACGCCAAAGCAGACGAUUGUUAUUUUAGUGCAUUAGUUUAUAUUCAUGAUUUCCGCACAUUGCGGGUUGUGUUUUACGGCGGGAGGGC